AUUGAACGCUGGCGGCAUGCUUUACACAUGCAAGUCGAACGGUAACAGGCCGCAAGGUGCUGACGAGUGGCGAACGGGUGAGUAAUGCAUCGGAACGUGCCCAGUCGUGGGGGAUAACUACUCGAAAGAGUAGCUAAUACCGCAUACGAUCUAUGGAUGAAAGCGGGGGACCGUAAGGCCUCGCGCGAUUGGAGCGGCCGAUGUCAGAUUAGUUAGUUGGUGGGGUAAAGGCUCACCAAGCCAACGAUCUGUAGCUGGUCUGAGAGGAUGACCAGCCACACUGGGACUGAGACACGGCCCAGACUCCUACGGGAGGCAGCAGUGGGGAAUUUUGGACAAUGGGCGCAAGCCUGAUCCAGCAAUGCCGCGUGCAGGAAGAAGGCCUUCGGGUUGUAAACUGCUUUUGUACGGAACGAAACGGCUCUGGUUAAUACCCGGGGCUAAUGACGGUACCGUAAGAAUAAGCACCGGCUAACUACGUG
RNAcentral lists this ribosomal RNA (482 nucleotides) under uncultured bacterium. RNAcentral's name for it is "partial 16S ribosomal RNA". It matches the Rfam family "Bacterial small subunit ribosomal RNA", at positions 30 to 507 of the family's 1533-position model. The record is from RNAcentral.